Molecule: ribosomal RNA, 253 nt
Filed under: uncultured bacterium
Lineage: Bacteria
Description: partial 16S ribosomal RNA
Rfam family: Bacterial small subunit ribosomal RNA
Source: RNAcentral
CGGGGUGAGUAACACGUGAGCAACCCUGCCUUUAAGAGUGGGAUAACAGUCGGAAACGACCGCUAAUACCGCAUAAUAUACUUGUAUCGCAUGGUAUGGGUAUCAAAGAUUUAUCGCUUAAAGAUGGGCUCGCGUCUGAUUAGCUGGUUGGUGAGGUAACGGCUCACCAAGGCGACGAUCAGUAGCCGUACUGAGAGGUAGAACGGCCACAUUGGGACUGAGACACGGCCCAGACUCCUACGGGAGGCAGCAG